GAUGAACGCUAGCUACAGGCUUAACACAUGCAAGUCGAGGGGAAGCGACAUCGAAAGCUUGCUUUUGAUGGGCGUCGACCGGCGCACGGGUGAGUAACGCGUAUCCAACCUGCCCACCACUUGGGGAUAACCUUGCGAAAGUAAGACUAAUACCCAAUGAUAUCCCACGAAGGCAUCCGAAUGGGAUUAAAGAUUUAUCGGUGAUGGAUGGGGAUGCGUCUGAUUAGCUUGUUGGCGGGGUAACGGCCCACCAAGGCGACGAUCAGUAGGGGUUCUGAGAGGAAGGUCCCCCCACAUUGGAACUGAGACACGGUCCAAACUCCUACGGGAGGCAGCAGUGAGGAAUAUUGGUCAAUGGGCGCAAGCCUGAACCAGCCAAGUAGCGUGCAGGACGACGGCCCUAUGGGUCGUAAACUGCUUUUAUAAGGGAAUAAAGUGAGUCUCGUGAGACUUUUUGCAUGUACCUUAUGAAUAAGGACCGGCUAAUUCCGUG
RNAcentral lists this ribosomal RNA (493 nucleotides) under uncultured bacterium. RNAcentral's name for it is "bacterial SSU rRNA". It matches the Rfam family "Bacterial small subunit ribosomal RNA", at positions 28 to 507 of the family's 1533-position model. The record is from RNAcentral.